UGUAAGAUGUGCAAGAGAUGGGGAGAGAAAUUGAGAGGGAACGAGAAGACAUGACAAAGGAUGUGGGAACAGAGAAAGGCAAGAAGGGUGAUGGGCGGGGGGAAGAAAAAGAGAAAAAAACCUUUAUGUUACCACUUGUUUAAUUUUGGCAGCAAACUAUGGACACAGACGUCUUGGCCUACCCUGAUUGUCCUACUGGUGGUCUCCUUUAUUCUACUUUAGACUAGGGCUUGCUCACUUGGGGUCCAUGGGCUUUAGGGCCUACAGGAAUUCCCUAAAAAUUAUAUCCCAACUCAUGAAUAUAUGGGUAGUUUUCUGGGCAGAAGGUCAUCUGUAGUUUCCAUGAAAAUGGCAAAGAACUGCCGCUCGAGCCAGACUACACCAUUAUUGAUUUGGGAAGAACUAACUUCGGAAUGUUUAAAGUACAUAUGCUAAGUCUUCAUCAAGACGAUUGCUUUCUAGAUUCAGUGCAGAGCUCCACAUGCUGUUUCUGCUGCUUCCACAGUGAUGGGCCAGGCAGACAACCGCGGAACCCCACGGGCAGAGCUGCUGUCAUUCUUACCCUGAUCCUCCUCUGCCUUCCUUGCCCCAGUGGAAGUAAGGGCACGUUAGACUCCAGAAUUAUCACUCUAGAGUGUGUGUGUCUGUUGACCAUUUCUCCAAGCUGUGGAAUGUAUCUGGAUGUACCUCUGGUCUUUUCCUUGAAUGUCAAUCACAGAGCAAGUAUGUGGAGAAAUGGGGACUGGAACCAGGGCUCCUGGUUCCCAGUUUUUUCCUACAUUGUAUCAAUGUCCUGGAAAACAAGCCCCUGGUGGUGGGGCUGAAUAAAAAGUGACUACAAAGUACUUUAAAAUGGUGAAGUGCUGGGUAAAUGUUAUUCAUGUUUUCUAUGAAUUAUUAUCCAUUACUAAUUAUGUUGAAUCCAAGAUACCGCCUAUUGUCAAGCACUUUAUUCUGAGACACUGACAGAGACCACAGACCCUCCAAAAUAAGAGGGAACCUUCCAAUUUUUCAGUCUUUAAAGUGGUUAACUGGGAUUGAUUAAAGAAGCCUGGCUGACUUUGAAAUCAGGCCCUGCCUUCUGGGUGAAGCAAACCUAGGUUUAGGGAAUGUGAAUAUGGGGUGAUCUCCUAAAACUCAAAGAUAUCAAAGGGGAGGGUGGGUUGGCGAGGCCACUUCUUAAUUUUCAGUGAUGUUAAAGGCCAAAGAAGGGGCACUUCUAAGCAAUAGAAUUGGAUAUCCAAUGGCACUUUAAGAACAAACGCAAGUCAUCCCAGGCAAGAAAUCACUUGAUUCUGUGCUUCGAGGUCCUUCAUUCUACUGUGAUAAAUGGAGAGUCCCUCUGGGGCCAUCAUUAACCAUAAGAGACAGGGCUUCCCCAGGCAUCUAGUGCCAGCUCCUCACCCAUCCUGCUCAACCCAGACUGUGGCUGGAUCAAUAGUCCAGGACAUGCCAGCCCUGGAGUCUGCUCUUUCCCUUCUGCACCAUCCUGGACCUAUUUUACCAGACUGCAUUCUCCAUGUUUCUGUUGCUGUUGAAAUAAUACUAAUACUCUUGCACAGUGAGCAGCAAAUAACUACAGCUCUGGCUUUCAGGCCAAUGACGUGUUACCAUUUUGUCACCAUGUUUUCAUGUUUGUUAUUUACAUCUUCGAAAAGCCCCAAGCCAUUGCUCAGAAAACUCAAUGAUCGUGACUCAGAGAAGUCUGUGUAACCAAAUACCACACCUGGGCACCACUCAUCAUAAAAGAGUACGGAGCAACCUCAUGGGCCAAAUUUUUACCAGAUGCCAUACAGUUUAAUCAUGCAAAAUCCCCAGAUGAUGACACAGAAUCUUAAGCUACCAAACCAUGCUGCAAACAUGGUGCCUUAUGAGCCAAGGGGACAAUAUGUUGUUUAAAGAGUCAGGGAGAAUGGGGUGCAAGCCUUGACUCAGCAAGUCUCAGCACUAGUUUCUUCCUAGAAAAUAGCUGACAACUAGAACACCUGAUUAGGGGGAUGGAAGAGGUUGCCUCACUCAUUUUCAAAAUGCAGGUUGUUUUCCUAGGAAAGGUUCCUAAACAACUUCAGAACAUGGCGAGUGAGGCCUUCUGAGGAGUUAUUUCUGGAUAUGUUUCUGGGAAUCAUAAGCUCCUCUUGGCCAUAUGUUCCUCAAGGCAGGCACAAGUUGGCUCUGCUUGUACAGCAAGCACCCUGGUGCCUAGCUCAGUGCUAUGGGCUUGAAGAGCUUCCCUUCUUGCAGUAUGAACUGAUGAGCAAAGAGGAGGAUAUCCCAGUUCUUAACACUGCCUACUGACCUCUCACCCUCUAGUUGGUGGCGAGGCACUUCCUUUGCCAGGCAUCAGAACGAAACUCCACAAAAAGGGAAACAAACCAGAGAAAUGAGUGCCUUGGCCAUUGCACUCCUCCCAAGCCAGUAGUACCAAUGCCCUGGAUGCUAGAUUCUGUAAGCCAGGGACACAUUCUAAAAGCUCAGGUCCUUUGUCAUGGCCCACAUGCCACAAGGUUGAUGCAAAGCUGAGAACCACCUAACCUAACCUCAGACCUUCCUUUUUCAUUUUGCAAAGCUGUGACUAUGGCUGGAAGAUGCAGACAGCAGGGGUGUUUCCUGGAGGAGCGGAUACGUGACUGAGGGAUGCAUACUUCGUGGGCUCUCACUGCUGGCUGCCACACAACCAUUUAGUUUCAUCCGGGCUGCUUUUGAUGAGCAUGCCAAUGGAGAUCCCAGACUAGAAAGUCACUUUCUUAUGCAGUGUGAGAAAGAUAAAGAUGUUUUUGCUAUAUGCUGGACUGACUUUCUUGCCAAGUAUGGGCAUCCUAUAUUUGCUCACUCAACAUUUACUGAAUGCCUACUAUGGCAUAUCUCUGCCAUCAAGGAACUUUUAAUCCAGAGAGAAUGGCUGGCUCAUACAAAAAAUUAUAAUAGUUGCAGGACAAGUGCUAGGCCUACUCAAAGGUCCAGUGGGGAAGAGAACAAUGACUUUUUUGGUGUGCCUUGGGGAGUGAGGGACAGCUUCACAGUAGCAGUAGUCCCGGAGUCACCAGGCAGCCCAUACUGAGGAAGCCAUCCCAGGAAGCAGGGCCGGCACACAAGCAAAGCACAGAGCCAUGAGAGCAUUCAGUGUUGAGGAAACGGUUGGGUGAAUGAUAGAAAAUGGCUAGAAACAAGGUGGGGCAAGAGGACUGGGACUUGUAAUGUUAAAACACAGUGGGUAGGUCUCACCUAUGUGUGAUGAAGAACUGUUGAAAUUGGAGCAGCAGAGGCACAAUCAGAUGACCACAUUGGAAAAAUGAUGGCUGUCAAUGUAAAGGCUGGACUUGAGGAUAUGAGAGUGGAGGCCAGGAGAUGAGUUCAAGCCCUUGGAGACAGCUUAGGGGGGUAGUGGCAGAGGAGAAGGAAAGGAUGUAAAUUGAUGGUACUUGAAGGUCAGAGAAAAGCAUGGUGUAAGAGAGAGACAGGAGUCUAAGAAAGUUCCUCUGUCCAGGCUGGUGAGAUAGAAAGUAUGGGAGCAUAGCAGGUUUGGGGUGACAAGAGAGAGAGUGAACUCUACUUCAGGUUCAGGUGAGAAUCACUACUUUGAGCCCUCCAGGUGGAGAAGUCAACUGGUGAAGCUAUGAGGCAGAAAACCACUUUCCCUGUGAGUAGCAUAUGAUGGUUGUUUUAGCCCCAGAAAAGGGUGAGGUCACUCAGAGAAAGAGCAUGGUGUGUGCAGAGAAAGUGAAGUUCCUGAGGCCAGGAUUCUCACCUGGCCCUGGUUGGCUAGCUCACUACACACAUGUGGGCAACACGUCAUUAUUGACUCUAUACAAAGAGCUCCGCCCAGGGCUCUGGGUGACACGGUGGCACAGGUGCAAGGCUGCAGGAGAGCAGAGCAGAGGCUGGAGUGGUGGCAGCGCCGAGGACAGAGAAUGAGAUGGCUGCACAGGUAGAGAGGACCAGAGGUGGAGACAGGCUUGCUGCAUGCAGACUUGCUCUGAGUGGAUGGGAUUCUUUUUUUUUUAUUUUUUAGUGGAUGGGAUUCUAGUGACUGACCUGCCACCUGGGAAUAAAGUUGGGUAUAACCCUUUCACCCCAAGAACGUUCUACUGUCAUUUCUUUGGUCACAUUGAAUCCAUAGUGAACUUGCCCAGGGCUGCAAUCCACUGGCAAGACAGUGUGAGAACAGGGAGAGCCAAGGGAGAGCCCUGGGAGUGCCAGGCUUUUAGGGGGAGGUGUGGGAAGAGGAAGAAAUUGAGGAGGAAAGGCCAAACUGUAGAUGUGUGCAGAGGGUGGGCCCCAGGGCCACUGUGUCUGUCCUUCAUGAGGCUCCUUCUAGAUCUUAUGAAGUGGUUUAUCCUCUCACGGCUGUGUUUAAUAAUAGUGCCACACUCAUCUUUUCUAUGCUCUAUGUGUCCCUGCUGCUCUUUCCCAAUGGGAUCAAGUUUCCAAUUAUGCUGAUUUCUAUUUCCCUUUUAAAGUCUGGAGAAACCAGUGCAGAGAAGCUUUGUGGUGCACACAAAGCUCACACAGAAGCUAGGCUUUCAAUUAGAACUUGAACUGCUUUUCUCAAAUGCCUGCUGCCAGAGUGGCCACGAAUGCCAUCAAGUCAACAGGCCGUGCAGCAUGUGCCCCACAAACAAGGAGGCUCCGCAAGAGGCAACAGUGGAACCAGUGUUACAGAAGGGCCCAAGAUGGGAGCUUAUGAUGCAUCUUGACUUUGAUGGAAAGAAGACGAAGGCCAACUGAGGGGUUUGGAAAACCACUGCUCACAACAUCUGGACACCAGAAGAUGAUUCCCCCAAACAGCUUCAGACUCCACCUCAUUCUGGGGGAAGAUGAGAGUACAUGCUACAAAGGAAAGAUGUGGCUGGAGGACGGGGUGUUCCCGACUAACCCAAAGAGGAAGCCACACGUUCUCUGGGAAGAGAAAAUGUAAUUUGCCUGUGCAAUAAAACAAAGCAAAUGGGGAGACACUAGAAGAUAAAGCCGCAAAGAACGUUCCAGCAAGACUGAGAAAUACAGAAUGCUAAAUCUCGUUUCCCCAUUAAAUCUCAUUUUCAUACAGUUGAAAUGAAAGCAUUCUGGUACAGGGAAAAGCACCUGGAGAGGUUUUUGUAAUAACGUGAGUCCCUGUCACUGGGGUCAGCUCUUAUUACUCCACAGUUGGCUCAGCCUUUGGGCAGAGCAAAGAUGUAUGUUUCUGCCUUCACAUUAUCACUUAAAUAUUUGGGCUUUUGAGAAGUAAAUUAGAAUGUUUCUGGCAGACUUUUAUUGCUGCAUUAAUCUUUGGUAUAGUUCAUUUGUCCUCUUUUGUCAGUUUCUAUCAUGGUGUAACUGGGUGUCAUCCAGUAGAAAAUCAAUUUUAGAUAACUGCUAUUUUACUUUAUAUUGUCAUUGUUUAUAAAAUGAGUUAGACAAGGAACCAAUGUAUACAUUUUACAGACAUCAGAAUCUUAUAAGUUUAUCUUCAAAUCAAGCAGUCCUAAAAGGAAACUUGCCCAAGUCCUCUCAUUCCAUUCUAUCAAAACCAAUGACAUCACCAUGGGAGUAAUCUGACACCCCUGGAGCAGAUGUUUAAGUCAAUUCAAGGGACUGUGGGAUCAACCCAGCUGCUUCUAACUUCCUACAUAUUGGGUUAACUUCUCCUUUCCUGCAUCAUGUUUCUUUUCAUAUCUGUUGCUCUGGCUAGUACUUAACCCUUAGGUUUGUCCAUGGAAUUUCUACCCACCUAGGGAGUAAAAAGAUGUCCAGAAAUGAAUUUAGGCAGAGCUUCAGAAUUUGAAUCAUCUUGUUUAUGGCACCAAAUAAAGAAAAUAAUUGAGUCAAGCAAGUGGCCAGGAGUGGAUUUAAGCGGUAUUUCCAUUUUCAUUUUCCAAUGUAUUUAUAAAAAUGUUCCAGUCACUGUGUUUAUGGCAGAGAGAUAGUGGAGAAACUCAGAAAGAUAGAUGGUUGAUGACAAAGCUUCCCUCUUACCCCUUUCUUUGAAAAAGAUAACCCUCAAAUUGUGACUGCUGUUAAUUUCAGCUCACAUGCCUAUCCAGAAAGUGCUUCUCCAUUUGACAGAACGUGGUGUCCAUCCUCUGUUUAACAACUCCCAGACUGCUGAAUGUGGGUACCAGAAAAGCAAUCCAAGUUUGAACCUACAAAUAGCAAGUGUUUCAUGACUGAGCAACCAAGCACCCCUCAGAACAUCAGUCCCAAGGACACAGCCAGAGUCACUGAAUAAAUCACCAGGGUAUCCUUUUAUCUCAACACUAGGAGCAACACUUGCCUAGAGAAGAUGUGGGUCAAUUUCUUGAAAGGGGCUAAUAGGAUAUUUUUAACCCUUGUCUAUUAACUCCUGAACUACAGGAAAGGUCCUCACUACUGCUGGAGCUUAAAGGCUCUUGGAUAAGAGGGCAAGGUGGCUCUUCAGUGCAAUGGCACUAAUUAGGCUAGGUAGGACCAGCUUCGGCAGAAGAUGCCUGCCAUCAGAGUCUCAACUCAGCACCAGCCAAACGCAUAACUAGUGCCAGGAUUUCUCCGAGUGUAAAACUCUGAGAUUUUGAUCAAACAACAAUAAUUUCUUGUUUAAAGUAUUGGGAGAGGGGUUAUAAAUAAUCAGAAAUGUAUUAUGUAAUCCUGACUAAUUCUUAACUUAGUUCCUUGAUAGAAGAAUGAGAACUGGAGACUGUCAGCAGUGCAGCUAGCAGAGCAAUUUACUAAGGAGGGAAUUGGUUCUUGUUUUCAUAAAAGCAUUCAAUCUAAAUGUCAAAUGUAACAAUACACAUAAAUGACCAUUCAAAAAAACCCCCACAGUUUGAGCUUAUACUGCUAAUUAGAUGAUUUUUUUGUUAAUUAAGAGAAAUUGGAUGGUUUAGGCUCUCCUGGCUUCUUAAUUAUAUUUGAUUGAAUCACCAUGUGAUUCAAGGCAAGCUAUUGAGGCUUCACACAUCCCAAUUCUGCUUCACUUCACCUUCAGUCCCUUCUCAAAUUUUGACUGUCAUAACCAGACCCUAUGGGUGUUGGAACACAGUGAUAUUGGUACUGUGUUUGUAAAAUUGAUUUACUGUGGUCUGUAAUUACACAUAACGAUUUGAAUUUUUGACUUGGCACUGCAUUUUUCAUUUAAACCGUACCGUUCUUCUAUACCCCAGAGAAACAGUAUUUAUGUAAUUGCUCUCAACUCAUCUACUUGGGUAUUAUAAAUCAGUCCUGCAAUAAAAGGCUUCCAGAGACGCUAUAGGCAUGAGGUUCUCAGCAUAAUUCAGCCCCCAGGACCGUUCUAGUUGAAGGACAGAAAUUGAACAGCAUUUAUAUCUUAUUGGACAUGAGAUGGGAGAGCGGUCUGGAGCCUUUGGGUCCUGGCAGCAAAAAGAACAGGCUGUAGGGUAAUCACGAGGGCUGGGCUGUACUAGACGGCCAGCUCAGAUCCAUAGGCCAUCUCUCUUUGCUCCUCACCUACUUCUGGGUCUCCCAUCACCUGCCAUACAAACUGUAUAGUGUGUGUAUGUGCCUUUAUUACAUGUCUUAUACAUCUUUGAUCCUCCAUCUCAUAGAUUUCCAUAUUUGUAAAUGCACCUAUUUGCUAAACUUUAUUUGUAACCUGAAAAUAAAUGCUAUCACCAUUUUCAUGGCCAUUCAUGGACAUACUCAGAGUGGCAAACAAUUGGAGUCCGUGCUGCACACGGCCCAGUUGAGGCUGAACAGGCAUUGCUCAGCCUUGCUGUGUCAGCUCUCAUACUACACAAGUGGCCUUUGAGGUCUGUUUGGUGCCACAUUUUUCUAAUUUUGGUGUUUUUCUUUGGUGAUGCUGCUGUUUAAAAUGGCCCCAAGCAUAGUGCUGAAGUGCUGGCUGAUGUUCCUAAGUGCAAGAAGGCUAUGAUGUUUCUUAUGGAGAAAAUAGACGUAUUAGAUGAGCUUUGUUCAGGCAUGAGUUAUAGUUCUGUUGACCUUGAAGUCACUGUUAAUGCAUCAAUAAUAUAUAUUGAAUAUGAUUGUUUAAUGACACAUAACACAGGUUAAUGUAUUGAUCGUCUGAGGAAAAUGUUGUGAGGCUUGCAGGAAACUAACCCUAUAUUUUCCCUGGAGCAAUGGUUCAGUAUUUGCUAAUCCAGUGUUCACAGGGACUUAUAGAACAUAACUACUGCAAAUAAUGAGAAUUGACUAUAGGUGUAUAUUGAUACAAACUCCUGAUUCCACCUCCCAUUCUGGGACAUUUUUGUCACAUUUGCCACAGCUUUGUCUAGGCUAGUGGUUCUCAACUUGACUGCACAUUUAACUCCCGCUUGGAGCCUUUAAAAAGAUCCUGAUGCCCAGGCCCCAUUCCAACCAGGUAAUUGAAAAAUCUCAGUAGUGGCAUCAGAGCAUUUGUACUUUUUGAUGUGCCUGAGUGUUUUUAAUGGCUAGCCAGGCUGAGAACCAUCUCAGGCUAUCUUCUUGCCUGAGUGUUUCCCCCAAAUCCUGUCCCAUGUCCUGGACAACACAAACCUCCCAGUUGGCUCCUGCUUCUGCCUGGUCUUAGCAAGAUGACCCCAAAGAAUGGGCAUCUUGUUUACUUUUCAAGUGGCUUUUAAACGACAGCAUACAAAUCAUCACUUCUCCCACCAAUGUCUUGUUUGCUUUGGGGUCAUGUGCAGAAUCCUGCUCAGGUUCUCCAGCCAAGGAUUUGACCACUCUCACCCAGCUCUCCAGGUACAAGAAAGGAGAUUUUGGUACCAGAAUUCCAACCUGAAUGAUAUGUGGGCAGAUAUUUCUAGAUUCCUGACACAAAUAUUUUGACUGGGCAAUAGUGCCUGCCUCUUGUUGAGGACAUAUUACUCUUGCAGGAAGACAGGGUCAUAAGUUAGUCAGAGGUCCUCUCAGAAUGUGAAUGAGCCACAGAAAGCUUGGGGUUCACUUUCUCUUAGUCUGCAGGUUCAGCUGCUGAAAGCUUAACCAAGUCAGGCUCAGCAAACACAGUGCAAGAUGCAGGGACCAGCAGCGCCGGCAUCAUCGGGGAGCUCGUUAGCAAGGCUAGACUCUCAGCCUCACCCUUGGCCUGCUGAACCAGGACCUGCCCUUUAAGAUCUCAGGAGAUUUGCAUGCACAUUCAAGAUGAAGAUGCAAUUGGCUUCACACCCAGCUUUGACUUGUUGGCUUGCCACUUGCUCUCAUGGUUGUUGGGGUGGCAUUGAGCCCAACAAAAUCGGCUUGCCAAAGUCUGGAGAAUCUGGGAUUUGGGUUGGGAGUCAUGUGACCUUUGUGUGCCUCCGUUUCCCCCCAUUAGUAGAUAACAAAGGUUUCAUCAUGGGAUUGUUAGAAAACAUAAAAUCAUUUAAUGCAUGCUAAAUGUGUUUUGCAAACUAUAAAGUGCUACAGAAAUAUUAUUAGUUGUCAGAGUAAGAAUACUUUAAUAGAAACAACACUGCUAAUGGAAAAAAUCAAGUCAAAGUACUAGCCAAUCUAAUGAAAUAUAUGGAGCAUUUUCAGGGUAUUAUGUCAGAAAGAUCUCUGACUAGUUGAUAGUGUUUCACAGAUUUACAACAGAAGAAUUUCCCACCAUGGUCUGUCAUACGAAAGAGAGUGUCACCCCUGCUCUUCCAGAACCCUCAUGUACACUCCCAAACUCUUCCCCGCCCCAGUCAGAGUCCUCCUCUGAGUCACACUCAGCUUGGUCUUGCCUUUCUUCCCACACACUUUAAGUAUUCACAUUUCAUUUCUAUUUUCUGGAGGGUCAGGGCAUGUGAAUCACCUUCUUUUCCAUUAGAUUUCAGUGCCCAGAACUCCUCCUAAGACCUCUUUGUCCUGACAUUGGUAAGCAACACUGAGUGCCUGAAGUUCUUAUUGAAAAUUCUAAGUACCUCCAUCAUAUUUAAAAAUUCAAGCUAUUAUGUGACUGGGUGACAUUGGGUUCUUCAUAUGCAGAACAAGGGGGCUGGACUAGAUGAGUUCAUUCAUUUAUUCAUCAGACAUUUGUUGAGUGCCCACCAUGUGGCAAGCUCUAAAAGCUGAAGGCACACGUUGUAAAUGCCAUUGCAGCCCAGGGGAUGAUCUCCCCACCCCUCCCUGAGUCAAUCUUCUAUGAUGCUAUUGUUAGCAUUUUAUGCAUUGCCAUUCUCAUUUGGAC
This is a long non-coding RNA of Manis pentadactyla (Chinese pangolin), 10066 nucleotides long. RefSeq lists it as uncharacterized. The record is from RefSeq and is a predicted model, not a curated record. Lineage: Eukaryota; Metazoa; Chordata; Mammalia; Pholidota; Manidae. The transcript has 3 exons.